This 384-nucleotide ribosomal RNA is filed under the name uncultured bacterium. Its description in RNAcentral is "bacterial SSU rRNA". It matches the Rfam family "Bacterial small subunit ribosomal RNA", at positions 29 to 441 of the family's 1533-position model. The record is from RNAcentral.
AACGAACGCUGGCGGCAUGCCUAACACAUGCAAGUCGAACGCUCCGCAAGGGGAGUGGCGAACGGGUGAGUAACGCGUGGGAACCUGCCCAGUAGUUGGGGGAUAACCGCGGGAAACUGCGGCUAAUACCGAAUACGCCCUAAGGGGGAAAGAUUUAUCGCUAUUGGAGGGGCCCGCGUCGGAUUAGCUGGUUGGUGAGGUAACGGCUCACCAAGGCGACGAUCCGUAGCUGGUCUGAGAGGANGAUCAGCCACACUGGGACUUAGACACGGCCCAGACUCCUACGGGAGGCAGCAGUGGGGAAUAUUGGACAAUGGGGGCAACCCUGAUCCAGCAAUGCCGCGUGAGUGAUGAAGGCCUUAGGGUUGUAAAGCUCUUUUUACC